RNAcentral lists this small nuclear RNA (116 nucleotides) under Trichobilharzia regenti. Its description in RNAcentral is "U5 spliceosomal RNA". It matches the Rfam family "U5 spliceosomal RNA". Rfam says of the family: U5 RNA is a component of both types of known spliceosome. The precise function of this molecule is unknown, though it is known that the 5' loop is required for splice site selection and p220 binding, and that both the 3' stem-loop and the Sm site are important for Sm protein binding and cap methylation. Lineage: Eukaryota; Metazoa; Platyhelminthes; Trematoda; Strigeidida; Schistosomatidae. The record is from Rfam by way of RNAcentral.
ACACUCUAGUGCCUCCUCAUUUAGGGAUAAAUAUUUCACCUUUUACUAAAGAUUUCUGUGGGGAGGCACAAUACAAUGAGUCUUGCCUCAUUUUUUUCAGCUGUCUUCGGACAGAG